Physella acuta is the source of this 346-nucleotide long non-coding RNA. RefSeq lists it as uncharacterized. NCBI's taxonomy places the organism in Eukaryota, Metazoa, Mollusca, Gastropoda, Physidae. The record is from RefSeq and is a predicted model, not a curated record.
AUUUAAGUCCCAGGGUCAUGUUGGGCUUUAGUUGGUUUUAGAGUUUUCUGGAUACCCUCUUCCUUCACUAAUCAGCCGACAGUAUGAACGCUGCAUUAGUGCUGUGUGUGUUGGCCCUGUUGGUAACCCUCGCUGUGGGCCAGUACUGGGGCGGCUAUUCCCGGGGCCUUGGAGGCUACCAGAGGUACCCCAGGUGGGGAGGAUACAACAACUACAGGCCAUGGGGAGGCAGAUGGUGGCUCGGCGACGACUGGGACGACAACUACGGCUGGGACUAAAUUUUGGCUGAGUCGCUCAUCGUCUACCGUCAUAUAACUUUUAAAAUAAAGUUAACAGAAAAUUGUAA